This 467-nucleotide ribosomal RNA is filed under the name uncultured bacterium. RNAcentral's name for it is "partial 16S ribosomal RNA". It matches the Rfam family "Bacterial small subunit ribosomal RNA", at positions 28 to 507 of the family's 1533-position model. The record is from RNAcentral.
GAUGAACGCUGGCGGCGCGCCUAACACAUGCAAGUCGAACGAUUAAAGCACCUUCGGGUGUGUAUAAAGUGGCGAACGGCUGAGUAACACGUGGGCAACCUGCCCCUUUCAUUGGGAUAGCCACGGGAAACCGUGGAUAAUACCGAAUACUUCGAGACUUCCGCAUGGAAGACUCGAGAAAGCUCCGGCGGAGUGGGAUGGGCCCGCGGCCUGUUAGCUUGGUGGUGGGGUAACGGCCUACCAAGGCAAUGAUGGGUAGCUGGGUUGAGAGACCGACCAGCCAGAUUGGGACUGAGACACGGCCCAGACUCCUACGGGAGGCAGCAGUGGGGAAUCUUGCACAAUGGGCGAAAGCCUGAUGCAGCGACGCCGCGUGCGGGAUGAAGGCCUUCGGGUUGUAAACCGCUUUCAGCAGGGACGAGGCGAAAGUGACGGUACCUGCAGAAGAAGCCCCGGCUAACUACGUG